GAUGAAGAACGUAGCGAAAUGCGAUAAGUAAUGUGAAUUGCAGAAUUCAGUGAAUCAUCGAAUCUUUGAACGCACAUUGCGCCCGCCAGUAUUCUGGCGGGCAUGCCUGUUCGAGCGUCAUUUCAACCAUCAAGCCCCCGGCUUGUGUUGGGGACCUGCGGCUGCCGCAGGCCCUGAAAAGCAGUGGCGGGCUCGCUGUCACACCGAGCGUAGUAGCAUACAUCUCGCUCUGGGCGUGCUGCGGGUUCCGGCCGUUAAACCACCUUCAUAACCCAAGGUUGACCUCGGAUCAGGUAGGAAGACCCGCUGAACUUAAGCAUAUCAAUAAGCGGUGGA
This 336-nucleotide unclassified non-coding RNA is filed under the name soil metagenome. Its description in RNAcentral is "partial contains 5.8S ribosomal RNA, internal transcribed spacer 2, and large subunit ribosomal RNA". The stretch from base 1 to 120 matches the Rfam family "5.8S ribosomal RNA", at positions 35 to 154 of the family's 154-position model. The record is from RNAcentral.